CAAUAGCGUAUAUUAAAGUUGUUGCGGUUAAAAAGCUCGUAGUUGGAGUUCUGCCAGGUGCCGCCUGUCCGCCCCAGUGGUGAGUACGUGGCGCGCAUUUGGCCCUUUCAAGGGGAGCGUAUCUGCACUUUAUUGUGUGGUGCGGGAUCCUUGACUUUUACUUUGAGGAAAUAGGAGUGUUCCAAGCAGGCUCUCGUCGUGCACAGCUCAGCAUGGAAUAAUAGCAUUGGACCUCGAUUCUAAGCUGUUGGUUGCCAGAAGCGAGGUAAUGAUGAAGAGGGAUAGUUGGGGGCAUUCGUAUUUAACUGUCAGAGGUGAAAUUCUUGGAUUUGUUAAAAACGGACUACUGCGAAAGCAUCUGCCAUGGAUGUUUUCAUUGA
This 380-nucleotide ribosomal RNA is filed under the name uncultured eukaryote. RNAcentral's name for it is "partial 18S ribosomal RNA". It matches the Rfam family "Eukaryotic small subunit ribosomal RNA", at positions 592 to 976 of the family's 1831-position model. The record is from RNAcentral.